Molecule: long non-coding RNA, 292 nt
Organism: Papilio xuthus (Asian swallowtail)
Lineage: Eukaryota; Metazoa; Arthropoda; Insecta; Lepidoptera; Papilionidae
Exons: 2
Source: RefSeq, a predicted model, not a curated record
UUUGACAGUGACAAGUUUACGGAUUUCGUGUGUCGUGUCAGUCUGUCAAUUAAUUAUUUGUCUCUUAUUUUUAAAGUGUUGGAGUUAAAAAAAAUAUUUAUCAGCCUUUAGUCUCUAUUACCAUUUUAGUAUUUUCGGCUAUAUUUCUUUCAUCAAUCUUUCAAUACGGCGGGGCGAAGCAAUAUGAGAAGAGCGCGAGACGGUUAUCAGUAUCAGCCUAUACCAAGGGUCGCUACCGAAGAUGUCUUGGAACAUGAAAAUGAAAGAAUGGCAGAGGAACUUAGCGGAAAAA